GGGGAUGCAAUGGUUUCGACGGGGGUUUUGAAAACGAGGAUAGCCAUUCGCACUAGGUAGUUGCGUCAAAAUGCCUAAAAUUUUUAAAAAAGAAACGACAAAGAUUAUUCUUUAAUGGCAGCCUAAGUCGCUGCCCGUCGGCCUUCGAUUGCUCACAGUUGAAGUCACCGGCGUCGAACUUGUGAGGCACUUUCCCUCCUAAGCUUUGCGGAGGGGAAAGAAAUAUGAAGCUACCAAAGGUAAAAGCCUGUUGUUCGGCGGUUACUUGAGGGAAUUUUAAAAGAGCAACUGUAAUGGGAGAAGUUUUCGUGGAGAGGCCUUCGGACAGGAGUUCGAUUCUCCUCAUCUCCAU
Molecule: transfer-messenger RNA, 352 nt
Filed under: chicken gut metagenome
Rfam family: transfer-messenger RNA
About the family: Bacterial tmRNA, also known as 10Sa RNA or SsrA, is named for its dual tRNA and mRNA-like properties. Its role is to liberate the mRNA from a stalled ribosome.
Source: RNAcentral